UCUCAAAAUGUCUGAUUGUGAUAUCCUAACCUUUUGUGCUGUCCUGAUGUGAAAUGGAUUAUGUAUGUGAAGAAUUGAAGUGUGAUGAAUGACAAAGGAACUGUGACCUGGCCUUAGGCAACUUCAUAAGGUUUAUGAACACAAGCACCCUGGUGCUGGGAUCUUUGAUCUGAUCACUGAUGUUUGGGAAGUGUACACAAGUUGGAACACCUGGGAUGAUUUAUGUCUUAGGAUUUAGUUGUAUGGACACUGAUGUUUAAGAAAAGGUGUUUUCUGUGCAUCAUGGAUAUACCAUCCACUGGGGAACCAUUAAUUAAAGUAGCAGCUGUGCAUCUUCCCCUGGGCUCUAGGAGAAAUGGUAUUUGCUGCUCUUUUACCAGAAGCUCAAGGCUUUUAUUCUCUGAGGAGAAAGAAGAAAGGUAUUUUGUCAUAGCACCAGAAAACUGGUCAACAGUGAUCAAAUAGAAUUAACUUGAGAAAGUAGGACUGGCUCAACAUUCAAAUGUAAAUUCAACCUAUCAACUGAAGGAAGAAGAAGAAAAAAAAAACUACAGAUAUUAUCACGAUAGAUAAAGACAAAUUAUUGAUAAAAUCCAAUGCAUAUUACUGAAUAAAAUUCUUAGUAAACUGGAGAUAGAUGUAAACUUCCUCAACUGAAAAACUACAUCUACAAAAACUCUAUAUCUGGCAUUACAUUUAAUAGUGACAAGAGAAUCUGUUACUCUAAGAUGAGCAAGGAGGCAAGAUUAUUUGUUCUUACUAUUCCUAUUGAAUUUCACCCUGAGUCCUAGUCAAUAUGAUGUUGUAAGACAAAGAAUUAAAGUGGUAAAUAGAUCUGAAUGGAAGAAAUAUGGUUGUCAUUAUCCACAUAUGACAUGCAUGUUCACAUGGAAAAUCCACGGAAUCUAUAAAAACAAUCAGAACUAAUAGGUGAGUCGAACAUAGUUGCAAGAUGUCAAUAGUAAAUAAAGAUUUAUUAUAUUUCUACAUACUAGUUGUGAAAAAUUAAAAUACAAAAAUUAAGUACACGUGCACAAAAGAAUAAAUGCAACAAUCUUGAGACUUAUCCUUAGAAAAGUCUGCUUGCAAGUAUGGCCUUUAUUUAAAUUUUGGAGAGCUGAAUUUCAGGAAGGUUCCCCUCAGUCUUUGAUAAAAAUGGGUCAAAGAGCCAAACCUCCUCAUGAAAGCAAUAUGAUUUGUGGUGAAUACCUGCAGAACUUUGGUACACACUAGGCAGAGUGCCUACAAGACCCACUCCCAAUAAGAGCCUUAGGUAUUUGAUCUCUACUAAGCUUUCCUGAAAGAACAUUUCAUACCUGGUCUCAGGACUUCUUGGUGGAGGGAUUAAGCAUAUUCUGUGUGAUUCCAUCAGGAGAAGGUUUUCUUUAGACUUACCCCAUGUGCCUUUUCCUUGCCUACAUCUUAGUAAGCUCUCUGUCAUUGUGAACAAAAUACCUGACAAGAACAACUUAGAAGAGUAAAAAUUUAUCUUGGGAUCACUGUUUCUGAGGGUCAGUGCAAGGUCAACUGACCCCAUUGCUCUGGGCCCAAGGUGAGACAGUACCUCAUGGUAGAGGACAUAGAGGAAGAAAACUACUUAAAUCAUGGAAUCCAGGAAAGAGGGAGGGAGGGAAGGAGGGACAAAAGGAAAAAGAGGGAAGAGAAGAGAAGGGAAGAGAAGGGAAGAGAAGAGAAGAGAAGAGAAGAGAAGAGAAGAGAAGAGAAGAGAAAGGAGCCAGAGAUAAGAUUCAAAAUCCACAAAGACAUAUCCUCAGUGACCUACUUCCUUCAGCCACAUCCUACCUACCUAUGGUGACUACUCAGUACAGUAGUGCUUUCAAAUUAGCAAUCCAUCAAAUGGAUAGGUCCACUGAUUAGGUUACUGCUCUCAAAAUCUAAUGAUUUUAUUCCUGAAUAUUCCUACAAUGUCUAAUAUGAGCUUUUAGAAGACACCCCAUAUUGAAACCAUUACAUGUUGAUUUUCUUUAUAUCUUUUUGUUGUAAUAA
This is a long non-coding RNA of Marmota monax (woodchuck), 2007 nucleotides long. RefSeq lists it as uncharacterized. The record is from RefSeq and is a predicted model, not a curated record. The transcript has 4 exons. NCBI's taxonomy places the organism in Eukaryota, Metazoa, Chordata, Mammalia, Rodentia, Sciuridae.